AUAGCUUUAGGGCUAGCCUCAAGGUGAGAGAUACGGAGGUAGAGCACUGAAUGUCCUAGGGGGUAUUGCACCUACCGAAGACUAUCAAACUCCGAAUGCCGUCAUCUUAUACUUGGGAGUCAGACUGUGGGUGAUAAGAUUCAUAGUCGAAAGGGCAACAGCCCAGAUCGUCAGCUAAGGUCCCUAAAUGUAAGUUAAGUGGUAAAGGAUGUGGGAUUGCACAGACAACCAGGAUGUUGGCUUAGAAGCAGCCACUCAUUCAAAGAGUGCGUAAUAGCUCACUGGUCGAGUGAUCCGGCGCCGAAGAUUUCCGGGGCUAAAACUUACUACCGAAGCUACGGCAUCAGUAAUGAUGGGUAGGGGGGCUUCCCAUACGGGUUGAAGCAUGACCGUAAGGACAUGUGGACAGUAUGGGAGUGAGAAU
RNAcentral lists this ribosomal RNA (424 nucleotides) under Clostridioides difficile. RNAcentral's name for it is "bacterial LSU rRNA". It matches the Rfam family "Bacterial large subunit ribosomal RNA", at positions 864 to 1295 of the family's 2925-position model. The record is from RNAcentral. Lineage: Bacteria; Bacillati; Bacillota; Clostridia; Peptostreptococcales; Peptostreptococcaceae.